CUAUUCUCCUGUCUCGGCCUCCUGAGUAGCUGGGAUUGCAGGUGCCCGCCGCCACACCAGAUGGUCACAGCCUCUUGGUCUAGUAGAAAAGUCUACCCGAAGCCUCUGAGAGGCCCAACAUAAUCAGGGACCACAGGAAACAGUACAGCAGUAACAAUGAGAAGGGGAUGGAGUGCUGUGGGACUCAGCAAGUGAAAGUGAAGAAACUUCAGGUCCUGGAAUGUGGAAUCCAGAUGGAGUCUCGCUCAGUCACCCAGGCUGGAGUGCACUGGUGUGGUCUUGGCUCACUGAAAC
This is a long non-coding RNA of Rhinopithecus roxellana (golden snub-nosed monkey), 294 nucleotides long. RefSeq lists it as uncharacterized. Lineage: Eukaryota; Metazoa; Chordata; Mammalia; Primates; Cercopithecidae. The transcript has 3 exons. The record is from RefSeq and is a predicted model, not a curated record.